RNAcentral lists this ribosomal RNA (805 nucleotides) under uncultured Veillonellaceae bacterium. RNAcentral's name for it is "bacterial SSU rRNA". It matches the Rfam family "Bacterial small subunit ribosomal RNA", at positions 75 to 853 of the family's 1533-position model. Lineage: Bacteria; Bacillati; Bacillota; Negativicutes; Veillonellales; Veillonellaceae. The record is from RNAcentral.
AGAGCUUGCUCUCUUGAAGUUAGUGGCGAACGGGUGAGUAACGCGUAAUCAACCUGCCCUUCAGAGGGGGAUAACAACGGGAAACCGUUGCUAAUACCGCGUACGAUUCAUAGGCGGCAUCGCUUGUGAAUGAAAGGUGGCCUCUAUAUAUAAGCUAUCGCUGAAGGAGGGGAUUGCGUCUGAUUAGCUAGUUGGAGGGGUAACGGCCCACCAAGGCAAUGAUCAGUAGCCGGUCUGAGAGGAUGAACGGCCACAUUGGGACUGAGACACGGCCCAAACUCCUACGGGAGGCAGCAGUGGGGAAUCUUCCGCAAUGGACGAAAGUCUGACGGAGCAACGCCGCGUGAGUGAUGAAGGUCUUCGGAUUGUAAAGCUCUGUUAAUCGGGACGAAAGAGUUCUGUGUGAAUAAUGCAGAAAAGUGACGGUACCGGAAUAGAAAGCCACGGCUAACUACGUGCCAGCAGCCGCGGUAAUACGUAGGUGGCAAGCGUUGUCCGGAAUUAUUGGGCGUAAAGCGCGCGCAGGCGGCCUAUCCAGUCUGUCUUAAAAGUUCGGGGCUCAACCCCCGUGAUGGGAUGGAAACUAGUAGGCUAGAGUAUCGGAGAGGAAAGCGGAAUUCCUAGUGUAGCGGUGAAAUGCGUAGAUAUUAGGAAGAACACCAGUGGCGAAGGCGGCUUUCUGGACGAAAACUGACGCUGAGGCGCGAAAGCCAGGGGAGCGAACGGGAUUAGAUACCCCGGUAGUCCUGGCCGUAAACGAUGGGUACUAGGUGUAGGAGGUAUCGACCCCUUCUGUGCCGGAGUU